RNAcentral lists this ribosomal RNA (492 nucleotides) under uncultured bacterium. RNAcentral describes it as "partial 16S ribosomal RNA". It matches the Rfam family "Bacterial small subunit ribosomal RNA", at positions 29 to 507 of the family's 1533-position model. The record is from RNAcentral.
AGUGAACGCUGGCGGUAGGCCUAACACAUGCAAGUCGAACGGCAGCACAGUAAGAGCUUGCUCGUACGGGUGGCGAGUGGCGGACGGGUGAGGAAUACAUCGGAAUCUACUUUUUCGUGGGGGAUAACGUAGGGAAACUUACGCUAAUACCGCAUACGACCUACGGGUGAAAGCAGGGGAUCUUCGGACCUUGCGCGAAUGAAUGAGCCGAUGUCGGAUUAGCUAGUUGGCGGGGUAAAGGCCCACCAAGGCGACGAUCCGUAGCUGGUCUGAGAGGAUGAGCAGCCACACUGGAACUGAGACACGGUCCAGACUCCUACGGGAGGCAGCAGUGGGGAAUAUUGGACAAUGGGCGCAAGCCUGAUCCAGCCAUACCGCGUGGGUGAAGAAGGCCUUCGGGUUGUAAAGCCCUUUUGUUGGGAAAGAAAAGCAGCAGGUUAAUACCCCGCUGUUCUGACGGUACCCAAAGAAUAAGCACCGGCUAACUUCGUG